RNAcentral lists this ribosomal RNA (138 nucleotides) under uncultured eukaryote. RNAcentral's name for it is "partial 18S ribosomal RNA". It matches the Rfam family "Eukaryotic small subunit ribosomal RNA", at positions 1299 to 1458 of the family's 1831-position model. The record is from RNAcentral.
UGGUGGAGCGAUUUGUCUGGUUAAUCCCGAUAACGAACGAGACUCUGGCCUAUUAAAUAGUUCGCCGAUUCCGAUCUGUCGGCGUUAACUUCUUAGAGGGACAAGUGGCUUUUAGCCACGCGAGAUUGAGCAAUAACA